Molecule: long non-coding RNA, 531 nt
Filed under: Physcomitrium patens
Lineage: Eukaryota; Viridiplantae; Streptophyta; Bryopsida; Funariales; Funariaceae
Description: long non-coding RNA (PPAT_LNC001699)
Source: RNAcentral
AUGCAUCAUUUGCCACAUUUCCAAUUGUGGCUGCACGCAUUUCUGGCUCAUAUUCAUAUCUUACAUUUUCACUUUGUACUUCAUGCCAUGUGUCAUUCACUUCAUGUGUCUUACCAGAGUUAUUUCCAUUCCAAUUGAAAGUAAUGUGACCCAUUUUUUGGCUUUCACUGAUGAAGAUAAUCAAAACAUAUGUCAAAAUAAAUUUCAAAUAUUUAGAUGUGAUUUACAUAUAACAAUAGAAAAAAGAGAAAAUCUUGAAUUUUUAUAUACAAAUUUUUGUUAUUUAUUUUUUUAAAAUCGCUCAUCUUUGCAAUAUUAGUUGCAUGAUCAAUAUAAAGUAUUAAUCAAAGUGAGUGUAUGUGUGAUAUUGUGUGUGUGUGUAGAUAUAUAUGAUAACAUGGAAGAAAUUCUUACGUAAUGGCAAAUGUACGCACACCAUUAGCACUUAAAUAUUUUCCAGCUAAUUUGUGAAAUUGGGGAGGUUUUACUAAAUAGUGAAUGGGAAUCUUGGCUUUAAGAUCAUAUUGCAUG